This 403-nucleotide ribosomal RNA is filed under the name uncultured Acetobacterium sp. Its description in RNAcentral is "bacterial SSU rRNA". It matches the Rfam family "Bacterial small subunit ribosomal RNA", at positions 356 to 774 of the family's 1533-position model. Lineage: Bacteria; Bacillati; Bacillota; Clostridia; Eubacteriales; Eubacteriaceae. The record is from RNAcentral.
GGGGAAUAUUGCGCAAUGGGUGAACCCCUACGGCAGAAAACCCGCGGGGUGGAGGAGGUUUUUGGGAUGGUAAACUCCUUUAAUUGGGGAGAAAAAAAGAAGGUACCCAAGGAGAAAAUUCCCGCCAACCUAGGGCCCAGCAGCCGCGGUAAUACGUAGGGGACAAGCGUUGUCCGGAUUUACUGGGCGUAAAGGGCACGCAGGCGGUUUUUUAAGUCAGAUGUGAAAGGUACCGGCUCAACCGGUAACAUGCAUUUGAAACUGAAAGACUUGAGUAUUGGAGAGGCAAGUGGAAUUCCUAGUGUAGCGGUGAAAUGCGUAGAUAUUAGGAGGAACACCGGUGGCGAAGGCGGCUUGCUGGACAAAUACUGAAGCUGAGGUGCGAAAGCGUGGGGAGCAAACA